AUGAACCGGCAAUGGAUGUACGGUGACAGACACACCUCCGAGUACAUUAAGGGCGUGCAUGAUUUUCUCGAAGUGGCUGAGGCAAACAAGCAGAAUGGUUUUAUGUGUUGUCCAUGCCCUACAUGUGGGAAUACGAAGUCUUACUCUGACCGGAAAAUCCUUCAUGCCCACCUGCUUUACAAGGGUUUCAUGCCACACUAUAAUGUUUGGACGAGGCACGGAGAAAUGGGGGUUAUGAUGGAAGACGGCGAAGAAGAAGAGGACGAUGACAACUAUGUGCCCCCUGAAUACGGUGAUGCUGCAACGGGGGAAGCUUCUGAAGAUCAAGAGGAACCAGACGAUGUGCCCAAUGAUGCUGCAAGGGGGGAAGCUGCUGAAGAUGAAGAGGAACCAGUGCCCGAUGAUGAUGAUCUCCGCCGGGUCAUUGUCGAUGCAAGGACGCAAUGCGAAAGUCAAAAGGAGAAGCUGAAGUUCGAUCGCAUGUUAGAGGAUAAAAAAAAAAGGGUUGUACCCCAAUUGCGAAGAUGGCAACACAAAGCUCGGUACCGUACUGGAAUUGCUGCAGUGGAAGGCAGAGAAUGCUGUGCCUGA
This 591-nucleotide ribosomal RNA is filed under the name Triticum aestivum (bread wheat). RNAcentral describes it as "partial small subunit ribosomal RNA". The record is from RNAcentral. Lineage: Eukaryota; Viridiplantae; Streptophyta; Magnoliopsida; Poales; Poaceae.